UAAUACGGAGGGUGCAAGCGUUGUCCGGAUUCAUUGGGUUUAAAGGGUGCGCAGGCGGGACAUUAAGUCAGGGGUGAAAGACGGUUGCUCAACAAUCGCAGUGCCUUUGAUACUGGUGUUCUUGGGUGACGGUGAGGUAGGCGGAAUGGGUGGUGUAGCGGUGAAAUGCAUAGAUACCACCCAGAACUCCGAUUGCGAAGGCAGCCUACUGGUCGUUAACCGACGCUCAGGCACGAAAGCGUGGGGAUCAAACAGGAUUAGAUACCCUGGUAGUCCACGCCGUAAACGAUGAUCACUCGCUGUGGGAAGGUAACUUUCCGCGGCUUAGCGAAAGCGUUAAGUGAUCCACCUGGGGAGUACGCUCGCAAGGGUG
Molecule: ribosomal RNA, 373 nt
Filed under: uncultured bacterium
Lineage: Bacteria
Description: bacterial SSU rRNA
Rfam family: Bacterial small subunit ribosomal RNA
Source: RNAcentral